Oncorhynchus nerka (sockeye salmon) is the source of this 1061-nucleotide long non-coding RNA. RefSeq lists it as uncharacterized. The transcript is spliced from 2 exons. NCBI's taxonomy places the organism in Eukaryota, Metazoa, Chordata, Actinopteri, Salmoniformes, Salmonidae. The record is from RefSeq and is a predicted model, not a curated record.
UUGAGCCGGUUUGUGACACAGGUGAAAUUGUGUCACUUCUCUUGCGUUCAUUGCACGCAGAGUCAACAGUUUGGGCCGCCUGGCUCUUUGCGAACUAAUUUGCCAGAAUUUUACGUAAUUAUGACAUACCAUUGAAGGUUGCGCAAUGUAACAGGAACAUUUAGACUCGUGGAUGCAAACCGUUAGAUAAAAUACGGAACGGAAUAAACGUUUUGUUUUCGAGGUGAUCGUUUCCGGAUUUGACCUAAGGCUCGUAUUUGAUAUUUAUAGAGCAGUCUGACUGGGGGGUGGUAGGCAGCAGCAGGUUCGUAAUAGUCAAAGGUAUAUGGUUUAGAGAAAUAGUCGACGCGUUAUGAUUCCUGUAAUAACUUGCGACUGAACUUGAAAGGGGUACCUUCGUUAUUUUACCGUUCAUGUCUUCCAUAGAGAAUGUCUUGAUCUACUUCAAAUAAGGUCUGUGUUUCGUGCAGGCUUAAACCGCCUCGGCGUUUUGACACCCGUGUAAAUCUCACUAGGAUAAGGUAACGUUUGUCGAAAUAUUUUCAUAAAUCCACUCUACAAUUUUUUUUAUCUUCGCUUAUAUUUUGCCAAUAUUGAUCAGAGUUACUUUGUCCUAUGGAUAUCUACACAGUUAUUACAUUUGCAAGGUGGUGUAAGGCUACACGAAACACAGACCUUAUUUUAAAUUAAUCUAAAUAUCCUAUGGAAUAAAUGAAGGAACCGCUUUUCAGAUUUGACUAGGUGUCAUGGGGAUUAUGACUCGCACUUUGGUAGUCAAUUCUUACCAUGUCCAUUAUUAAAAUAGGAUUUCCUGCAUAUAGAAAUUUGUUUUUGUUUUCAACAUUCAUCACAGAUGGCAGAGAAAAGCAGAGCACCAGUGUGGGACUAUUACAUGGAAUUGGCACCAGGGAAACAAGGUGUCUUAUUUGUGAUAAAGAUGUAAGCAUGGAGUCAGCAACUGCUAAAUCAAAAAAUACCACCAACCUGUGGAAUCACCUUAAGAACACCCAUCCAAAAGCCCAUAUGCAUUAUAUUAAGUUAAAAUAAAAGUGUUAAUUCAG